AGUAAGAUGUAAACUUGCAAAUAUGUCUAUCCAUUGGCAGCUGUGGUAUGUCAAUCUGAACUCCAUAGCAGCAUGCUACUGAAUUUCCAAGAAAUUACAGUCUCUAUCUUUUUAGACAUAUAUGCUCAAAUCUCUGGUCGAGGCCGCAGCUCAAGCAUGAGUCCUAUCAAGGUCCUCGGAUCCAAGAACUUGCUUAUUAAUCUAGAAGAUUUCAACCUCCGGUUCUAAUGCCCUAUUCAUAAAGAUCAUCCGGGUUCUCUGCCUGGAUGCAAAACAAGGUUCAUGAAAUACAAGACGGAUUUAUUUGGUGGAUAUGCAGGCUUCUGUCCGAGCAUGCCAUGAAUUGGAGGGUAUGCAUGAACAGUAAAAGAGAAUAGAAAUAUGCACCAAGGGGAAGGACGGAAAAAAAAAGCAAGUUUACUGCAGAUAAGUUCUCAGUGGGAUGGGUAUGUGAAGGAUAAUGCGAUUGAAAAAUGCAUCAUGGCCGCUCCAUUGCCAACGACGUGGUGGUAGUGGGAGGUUUCGUGGAACAUGGAAGCACCAUAAGUCUAUAGUGCAGGAGACGACUGAAGGGAGCAAUAAAAGAAGAGCCACAUGCACGCCAGCGAGUAUUCGAGGCGGGCACGACAAGAAUGAUGCUAUCGACGUUGCCAGAAGGGAGCAAUAAAAGAAGAGCCACUUGCACGCCAGCGAGCAUUCGAAGCGGGCACGACAAGAAUGAUGCUAUCGACGUUAACUCUAGGUUAAAUUACUCGGCAAUCUGACAGCAAAGGUGAAAGCUUCUCCUUCUAUAUUUUAAUAAGUGGUAGAGAUAAAGUCUGAACCCAAACAAAGCCAAGAUAUUUAAACCUCUAGUUGGCCCUGAUAAGAUCAUCUAACACGUCGUAGCUGAACCGCUGAAGCCUGUGAGGUAUGCGCUGAGUGGGCAGCAGGUGCCCUAUUACAUAUGAUUCGAAUAAUUCCACGUGAGCUUAGUAUUUCUGUACACCUAUAAACCCUACGUCGUAUGUGUGAGUGCGUUUGUCAUCGUUCAUGUUUCUUUACUGUUUUCGAGCUCAUCUCCACGAUCAGGUACAUCACUCAACUAUAACAAACUCUAAUAUGAUGUUGAUGAUGUUGUCGUUGUAACAUUUUAAUAUCAAUCUGUGUGUAAUUUGUUACUGUACUCUCUUUUUACACAUUUUUUUCCCUUUCUGUAUACUGCCCUCCAAAAGCUGUCUUUCGUUGUGCCGUUAUUGUAUUUUUUUUUGAUAAAAACGCCGUUAUUGUUAUUUGCUCUGCCGUUCUGGUACUAUACGGCUCUGAUAUCAUCAGGCUAUACUUUGGGUAUCCCUGUCCACACAGCCGGCUGCUAUCAGCGUCCCACCAGCAGCAGCAGUGACCACAGGGACCGGGCAUAGGCAUAGGAUGCCUUGUCGUCCAGUGUAUACAAAGGAAGUCUACAGAAAAACUUUAUUUUUCGUCGAGCACUUAUUCGACGACUUGACAUUUCAUGUAUAUCGCUUUCUUCAGUACCGUGGAAUCGCGACAUCGCGUAAUGGGGUACGCCUGCCAUUGACAAAGACUUGAAAGGUAAAGCAGACGUUUCCUCUUGUUAGUUGUGAAUAAAGCUACUACUUUUCUCUGUACAGCAGGUUGCAUUGCUUGAGCUCCACAAAUAUGGUCUUGUUUGGAUCCAUACAUCUAAAAUUUUUAACUGGCUAUUUAGUCUCUUUUUUAGCUAGCUAAAAAUCACCUAGCUAAAUUUUAGUUAAAUUUUAGUUAAAGGUGUUUGGAUCCACCAGCUAAAUGAGAUAUUUAUCUAUCCUACCCCUCAUCCCUCUUCCCUCUCCUUAAUCCUUAUCUUCCUUUUGCACCUCGCCGCCCCAUGGAUGCCACCCAAGCCCCCGCCCGAGUCCUUGUCCCUCCCCGUCUUCCCGGACGCCCCUUGGUCACCGCCCUAGAUCUGGCCAGCCUCGUUCCGCGCUGCCGGCCUUGUCCCACCGUGGCCGUCUGCCACCUCCUCGAGCGCCACCAUCCCCACCUUCCCCAGCACAGCCGGUCCCUGAAGUACUACUACUCCGGCGCCACGAGCGGGGUCCUCUAGUAGCCGGCCGCCGGGGGUGGGUGGAGGAAGCAAACGGGAUCUGGUGGAACCGAAGGCACCGUCGGAGCCAGCAGCUGCAAGCAGUAGUGGAGCCGCGAGCCGGCGGCGUCCACAACCACGGCGAAGAGCUCGUGUAGGUAGGCGGCAGCUUCCUAGCCCCGCCUCCGCCGCUCGCCAGCUGCUUCAGCGGCUUCCUAGACCCAGACAAGUUCCAGCGUAGCCACGGUGUCGGCCCCGAGCUCCGACGAGCGACGGCCCCCAGGAAGCAACACAGUGAGCAUGAGAGCGGCGGCAUGUGUGGUUGGCGGCACACGGGGAGCAGCGGGCAGGGCGGACCGACAGCAAGCGGAGACCGGACCCAGGAGAAGAGCGGCGCGGGAGGGGAAUGAGGGGAUUUCCCGAUACGAUAGGUGGAGGGGCACGAUAGUCUUUUACCAGAUUUAGCUGGUUUAGCUGGGUUCAACCAGUUGCAGCUAAAGUUUUGCAGUCUCCUGUUUGGAUCUAAAGAAGUCAAAUUUAGCCGGCUAAACUUUAUAUGAUGACCUAUGUCAUCUAGAAUCAGUCCAUCCGGAAAAGUAAGUUCUUUCUUUUCUGCACAAAUCGUCCGGCUCUGUUUACAAACCUACUAUAUCUAUAAAUAUAGAAUCUGAAACGUUAUUUCCUACUAGAUUCAAAGUGACCUAAUCAAGUUAGAGUAUUGACCUUUUGCGCCUAACUUGUAUAGCUGGUAUCUACUUUUCUUGUCAUAUUGUUUUUAACUUUACGCAAUUUCCAACACAAGACUUCCACUUGCCGCCACCGCCACAUGAUUUGAAUGGUAUUUGAACGCGCCAAGCGGCCAACCGUUUGGCGAAUUAGUUGGCCAUUAUUUUUGUCCUACUGAUAUUGAAUGUAAGGUGGACCAGCGCGCAUUGAAACAGUUGAACUAGACCACCCAGUCAUCUCUUCCAUCACCUACCGGAAAGGUACACGAACCCGUUCACCAAACAAUCAAGUAGAGGUUGUAUUCAUCAAUUUGAAUCGCGGUUUGAGCUAUUCCAAAAUUGCGACUGUCCUUGGUGCGUCAACUCUACGCAAGUCAGCCACAUUUGUCCUCACUUAUGACCAGUUUUUUUAUAUUAACUUUUUUAAUCUAAUUUUUUUAAAAAGCUAAUUCCAAACCAAUAUUAUAAGUAGUCAUUUUUAUCAUUCAAAUAAUGUAGUGCGAUCGGCCUUUCACACUAGCGUAGCACGCACGGGAGGACGACCUUGACGCUGAUGUGGCCAGGCUGAGUCGCGCCACAUGCUUUCAGUCACGUCAGGGCUCGUGGCGCGAUUCAGCCUUAUACAGGCAUGCAUCGGGGCUCCUUUCUUUCUUCCUUCUCACUUCCUUCCUUCCCUUUCUAACCCUAGCCUGAGCUCAUCUUUCCUCUAUGGCGCGGCCCCUCCUUAUCCUCUAGAUCCACUUGGUUCCUCACCCGAUUUGAAGGGGAAACAAAUAAAAAUUGCUCCGGAAGUAGCACUGUUCAUGAUAAUGGAGAUGUUUGCAAGAAUGAGGCAACAAGUAGCAAGAUUUGGUAGUACUCCAACAUUUUGUUACAUAAUAGGCCGAGUAAAUUCACUGUUCAAAGUUGGAAAUGAGGAAGGAGAGAUAAGAAUUAGUGGAAGGUUUGAUGUCGGUGAUAAAAGAUCUCACUAUGUGUUGAUGCCACUUGUAUGUGAUGAUGAUUGGUUAUUUUACAAAGAGUUGGUGAAAAAUUCUCAAGUUGCUUGAGCUGA
Long non-coding RNA from Setaria italica (foxtail millet), 3844 nucleotides. RefSeq lists it as uncharacterized. The record is from RefSeq and is a predicted model, not a curated record. The transcript has 2 exons. Lineage: Eukaryota; Viridiplantae; Streptophyta; Magnoliopsida; Poales; Poaceae.